Molecule: small nuclear RNA, 133 nt
Filed under: Naja naja (Indian cobra)
Lineage: Eukaryota; Metazoa; Chordata; Lepidosauria; Squamata; Elapidae
Description: U1 spliceosomal RNA (ENSNNAG00000016015.1)
Rfam family: U1 spliceosomal RNA
About the family: U1 is a small nuclear RNA (snRNA) component of the spliceosome (involved in pre-mRNA splicing). Its 5' end forms complementary base pairs with the 5' splice junction, thus defining the 5' donor site of an intron.
Source: RNAcentral
AAAGAAGAUGUGGGAUAAUAUGGAUGAGACUCAUCUGUUGCACUCCAGAUAUGCUGAUCUCUGCAAUUUCCUCAAAUGGAGGAAACUUGACUUCCUAAUUUGUGGUAGUGAGGGGAUUGUAUGUGUGUUUUAU